Molecule: ribosomal RNA, 489 nt
Filed under: uncultured bacterium
Lineage: Bacteria
Description: partial 16S ribosomal RNA
Rfam family: Bacterial small subunit ribosomal RNA
Source: RNAcentral
ACUCAAAUGAAUUGACGGGGACUCGCACAAGCGGUGGAUUAUGCGGCUUAAUUCGUCGAUAAACGAAGAACCUUACCAAGGUUAGAAAUCCAACUGCAUCCUUUAUGAAAGUAGAGGAGCCUUCGAGGGUGUUGGACAGGUGAUGCAUGGUCGUCGUCAGUUCGUGGUUUGAACUGUUCCCUUCAGUGGGGUAACGAACGCAACCCCCGUUGCCUGUUGCCUAUAUGGCCAGGCGAGACUGCUCCCUCACGGGAGAGGAAGGUGGGGAUGACGCCAGAUCAGCAUGUCCCUCUGAUACCUUGGGCUGCACGCAUAAUACAAUGGGUGGUACAACGGGUCGCAAUGCCGUAAGGCGGAGCCAAUCCUUAUAAAACCACCCCCAGUACGGAUUGAGGUCUGCAAUCGACCUCAUGAAGCCGGAAUCGCUAGUAAUCCCGGGUCAGCCAAACCGGGGUGAAUACGUUCUCGAGUCUUGUACACACCGCCCGU